AUUUUCGGCAGCUUGUGGUUGGAAUGAGUCGGGCAGGUGGAAGAUGAUUCCAGCCAUUCGUCAAGGCGGUCGAGACCCGUCCCCCACCAGAAGUUGUGCCACCAUGCCCCAGGAGCUCCCACGUUCUGCUGAUCGGAGCCAGUUCGGCCAUAACUCAGGACCUGGAAAACGGCUCGGGCUGUCUAGUGCACCUGUUUCAUUGAACGCGCGUCCGUCUCGCGGCUCUUGAUGCUUGCCAUUAUGAGAGCGCGCCGUGGGACUUCCAGAAAAGUAAACAACACAGCUCAGAAAAACGUCUGCUCGGGGCAGCUUCGAAUCAGUCCGAGCGCUACGUGCUCCGGGGAGCUGAUGAGCAGGGGAACGGCAGCGUGAGCAGCGAGAAGUGAGCAGGUUAUUCUGCACGUGUAAUAACGUAAAUCUGACUCAAGGAAAUGAGCGAGAAGAAGGGGAGACAGGAAAGCAGAUGGAAGAAGUUAAAUAGAAACCCGAGGUGAUAGCACCAUUACGCUGUGGGCAGGGAUUUAUUAGCGAGUGGGUACAUUUAUUGGGUGUAUUUACCGCCUGCACAGAGCACUUGGUGCUUAGUCAUCUGCGUGUCGAACUGGGCUCCCCAGCUGGGCUUACCGAGUGGGCGUUUGCUGUGCACCUACUAUGUGCCAGGCGGGGUUUGCGGUGUGGAGGUUGUCGAAAGAAGGGAGAACACAGACUCCCAGAAGUUGGGGACUUGGCCUUGGCCUUUUUGUCCCCUCCCCGCCACGCCCAGCACCCCAGAGGGUUCCCCUGUUCCAGGAAUAAGAGAAUUCGCGCCCGUGGCAUCGGUGCUUUGUUCUUUCCAGCCACUUAGGAGCGUUUUGCUCAACCGCGCCGAUCCUGCUGUCGACUUACCAGACCCGAUCCUUGGAACUACCCCAUGAAGCAAGUACUGGGAUUAUCCUCAACGAACAGAAGAGGAAACUGAGGGAGCGAAGAGAGGGUAGGAGUUUGUUGAAGGAUUUUUUUUUUUUUUUACCUCGAUACCCUGGGUUCGUUGUCUCUCCGUGUCGAAGAGUGAAGAAGAGGACAGAAUUAAAUGAGCAGCAGACAGAGGUUAAUCAGAAUAUACGAAAGUAAGAAUAGUGGGAAAGCUCUCUCUUUGCAGAGAGGGGGUGUUCAAAGGUGAACGCUCCCGACUGUAGGCAAGGGUCUUUGUUUUCUAGGGUUCUGGUCACCCCCGCUUGCCUUCACCUCGUUCCUUCUCAGGCCCAACCUUCUUGGCUAGAUAGCUCUCGGUGCUGGGUCAUCCACUCCUGAUUGGCUCGGCUCCAUUGUGUGAGAAACCGGCCGGUGGUCAUACUGUCCCUCCUAUAACGUGAGUUUUAUGGUUCACCUAUUUUAGUCAGGUAUUUUGAUGGUCGGAUUCCUGAGGGAAACCCGAGGGGGGGUGGGUAGGUGCCUGCUACAUUCUCAAGAGGAACCGCAAGGCCUAAGGGGGCUUGCUGUGGUCAGACACUCCCAGCAUUGUUCCAAAAUGUGUGUUUUUCCCCACCCGGGGACCUCAGGUCCUAACCUUUCCCUCUCUGCCAAAUUUAUCCUAUCUUUGCCCUAUCAGAAGUUGACUAAGGCCACAUGGUUAAGAGAGAAGGCAGGUCUCUGCCUCCUGCGUGCCGUUGGCUACGUUCUUCCUGCCUCCCCAAAGGACACCACGGGCCCAACCUGCAGGUCAAAGCGCGGAGCCCGUCCCUGUUUCUGAUGACCUUCACAGCCAGAUAGGAUCAGUCGCUCGGCGAGGUUGUCCCGCCUCUCGAGAAGUCGGUCUCUGGAAGCCCAGACCUACCCACUACUCCCCAGCCCCGAACAGUUGGCCUGCUAGCUGGAGAGUGAGCCCACGGGGCUCGGGAGCUGAGGCCAGCCCCGGAGACGUGCCCAUGCCCUAGACCUUGCCGGUUCUGGCCGUGCCAGCUCUGGACGAGGCAGAGAAGGGCUCAGAGAGAGGACUCUUACCUCACAGCUUCCUUGUGCGAGCCAGGGAAAGAAACUGACCUGAUCUGGCCGGCUUUCUGCAGAAUGGCAGGACCGAAGUCAGCCUGGUUGGAAAUGAAAGAAUCCCGGGGUCUGCUACGUAUGAGGGUCCAGAGGGACCCCGUCCGCCCCUUGCCCUGCUCCUGCUUCACAUGCCGACUUCCUGACAAGAUAAAUUGUCCCCACCCCCGUUUGGCUUGUGACUCCCCGCACCCACGGCCGGUUUCUCAUGCCUCUGACAAUUGCACUUUGUCUCUGAAUACCCGAAACACGAGACCAAGACUUCUUUUCCCCUUUAGCUCUUAUCUUACUUGGUUAUCUCUUCAAGGCAACGAAGGCCAGUUUGGGGAGGGGGGCUUGUGGGCAGGCAUCUUUUUUCACCAGACUCUGUGGUCCUUGUUCAGACAAACGGGGUUUUCUGCGUGUUUUGAGGACGUUGAUUCACCCCCAAAGGAGACCCCUCUACCCUGGAAGCGGCCUUUGCUUCUGUACCAGACUAGGAGAACAACAGUCCUGAGGGGCCUCGAUUUCUAUAUAAUUCAACUUGGAAACAUUUCAGGGUUCCACAGCUAAGUUAGAAGCCCCAGCCCCCGAUGAGACCUGCUGGCUGGACCCCCACCCCGGGGGGCUGUCGUCACUGACUCUCCGUGGGAUGAAUUCUACCCCCCUGGCGAGAGGAGCUGGGGGCGUGUUAAGACUUACUGAGUUUCAGGAAUUAUUCCCAGCACGGACCAGAAAAGGCAUUUUUGUUCUGAGCCACAUUAUAGGCAAGCGGGAGAAUUUGCAUCGUUAUCAGUGAGCGCAAGGGGAGGCUGGUGUUCGGUUCCAGGGCAAUUAUCGUUGUUUCCCAUAGAGUUAACUGCGCCGCAAAGCGGAUCCAUUUUCUCGCUGCAAAAUAAGGGCGUUGGAUUGUCUUUGCGGUAACCGUGCAAUUAGUUCUUUUCGCCCCGCUCUUUGCCGGGUGCUGCCGUCUUUUCUCUGCGAGUGCGUUUGCAACGGCAUUUCACGGCAAAUCUGCUCUCACUCUGUUGCAAAGUCAGAGGAUAUGCUGGCUGACUCUGUGGUACCUGAACUCAAGGGCCCCCGUGAGUCAGUGUAGAGAUGAGGAAGCCGAGAUCGGAGAGGAUAAGUGACCCGUCCAGGGACACUCCACGCCAGCCCUGGGACAUCUGUUUCUCUGGUCGUCUAGAAUGAGCUCCUACGUGGGACAUCCUGGGGGAUGUACGAGAGUCCACACACACACACACACACACACACACACACACGGGGCCCUGCGCACCGCCAGCCCCCAGCCCCCCAUCAACACUAAAAGUCGCACGCAAACAAAACUUUGUAACCGAGGGAAUGUUGAGACACGAGUGAUUCGGGCCACAACCCGGGUCUGCUCCGUCUAUAACAUACAGCUUGAGGGAGAGACCUAAGGCGGGGGUUGUAAGAUCAGGGCAGACCCUAUUUUGUCUUAUCCCGAUGAGCUGUCACUUUCCACCCAAUGUAGUUGUGCACAUAUGCUACCUGGCCUGUGGCUUCGACUUCCCACGUGGAGAUGUCCAUGCCUCACGGAAACAAAGACCGCCCCGGCUUCCAACAAGAAGAGAGACUCAGCCGGCACGGUGUGGCCAGUUUUCCAAAGGAGGAGAGAGGGAGAGAAGGCAAAACCAAAGCCACCACGGACCUCAGGCUCCGUGCCAGUGAAUGUGGACAGAGAUACCCCAGCGGGACUUUAUGGUUGGAAAUGGCCUUGGUAUGUGUCUUACCCACCUCCACGCUGUGCAGGUGAAGAGAGUGACAUCGGGUUAAAUUUCCAGGGGAGCUGGGACUGGAAUCAACUCAGGUCUCCUGAGUCUGGGUUCUGGGUCGCCUGGGCACGUGAGCCUUGUCUCCCUGAGGACGUAUUUGGCCGCAAGCCACAGGCCGCCCGAUCCAAAUGGCUC
This 3929-nucleotide long non-coding RNA is filed under the name Lynx pardinus (Iberian lynx). Lineage: Eukaryota; Metazoa; Chordata; Mammalia; Carnivora; Felidae. The record is from RNAcentral.